Molecule: long non-coding RNA, 1877 nt
Organism: Cairina moschata (Muscovy duck)
Lineage: Eukaryota; Metazoa; Chordata; Aves; Anseriformes; Anatidae
Source: Ensembl
CAGGACCGGGAUGAACCUUUGGGGAUCCCCAAAAGUUGCCCCAACAGCUACUGGGACGUGGCCAGAGGAGAAGGGGCUGCACAUCAUGCCUGGUGCUGGCUCUGCUGAACCCCAGGAGCCUUGGGACAAAUGAAGAAAAUGACAGGCUAGAGGGAAAUUAAUAGAGCAGAAAAUUUGAAAUGAUGUGGAAAUAAUUCUUCUGGCUUAAGGAGAGCUCCUCGUAUGCUUAAUUUCAGAACACAACUGUUUGCAUGUUGCUAAAUUACAGUAUCAAGGCAAGGAGCCCUGACUGGAGCUUAUGGGACACGGGGACAUUUCCACUCGUGUGGAGAGCUUUCCCACCUGGAGCAAGCAGAUGGAGUCCAAAGCCCGAAGUCCAGAAGAAGCACACGCCGCCGUCCUCCACCUCAGCCUGGCAGCCCCAGCAGGAGCCAUCGCAGCCCCUCGCCAUCCUCAUGCCCAGGUUAAGCCAACCCUUGCCGUACAGACCGCAGCAGUACAGGACGGUGAGGAUACUCCCUGUUCCUCAGAGCCUGGAUUUCCCACCUGGGUAGGACCUUCUGGGCCAUCUCCAUGUCACACUGAACUUUUCAGGGUCCUGAGGUUGUCCCUGCUGCUCUGCCUCUACCUGGCCAGAAGCCAUACGCCACAGCAGUGAAACACAGCCUGAAGCUGGCCCCAGCUCCCCACAGGGUGAUGCCAGAACCAGAUACCCCACAGGUUAGAAGAAGGGGAGCCUGGUGGUGUCCUCACUCCUGAGUUGAGCCCUCUUUCAGAAUCCCACGGCUCCGACAAGCUGUCAGCACAGAUCUGGGUAGCUGUAUAUCAUCGACAGCAGCCCAGACAUCCUUCACCAUCCUCCUCCAUGUACAGAGCUGUCCAAACCUCUGUGCAAACACAUAGAGCCUUCUGUACAUUUAAAUGGCCCUAAACUAGAGUGCAUGAUCUGGAGAAAUGGCACAAGAUUUAGAAACCCCUGGGGGUGUCACCAUCCCUUGAUUUACAUAGGGUCUGAGCCCCCCUCAGGCAGGAAGAACCCCCUGGGAUGCUUCCAGUCACCCAGACGCAGGAGCAAAGUGACAUCUGGUGACACAGUGGGGAAGUCCUGCACAUGCAACCUCCAGCUCACCAAGGAGUGAGACACAGCAGGGCUGCGGAGGGCCCUGAGGAGGCAAAGCUGGACCUGAGUCACCCGGAGGGACCUCGGCUCGUGGUCAGAGGCCACCCUCGCUGCUGGGGACCUCCCAGGGCGGGCACACUGCGACCAGCCCAGCUACUGGCAGCUGGAGCUGGGAGAAAACUGGACCAUGAAGAUCAACCAGAAAAUCCAAGAACAAUAAAUUCAAUUGGAAAAAAAAAAAAAAUAUAUAUAUAUAUCUAUUAACUAUACCAGGUGGGUGGGGUGGGGGUUAUUUGCUUGCUAUGGCAUGGGUGAACAUUCAGCUGGCCCAGCAUCGCCCACCAGUGACUCCAGUCCACUGGAGAGCGCACUGGAAGAGCCAUCCCCUUCCUCAGAGGGGAUGCACAGUGGCCUGGGGCAGCAAGGAGCAGAACGGGGAGGACAGCAGAGGAAAGGCAGCAGAGACAGGGCGAGGAUUACUCACGCUGCCAGAGCAGCAGCUGCUGGCUUUGGCGUGAUGGUGGGAGCAAGGAUGGGCCCGUGGCGCUGCGGGGUGGAGCGUGUGUGUCAGAGAAACCCCUGGCUGCUUGCUGUGUUGUGCCAACAAUAGCGUGUAAAGCGCUGUCUGCACGAGAGGAUUCGCGUGUCGAGCGCUCCCCGGGGCCGUGGGAUCUCUGCUCGCCGCUGGAGGCGAGGGCAGAGCUGCAGAAAGGGUCUGGAAGCAGCACCCGCUGCACUGGGCAGAGCAGGGGAGGCA